CAAUAGCGUAUAUUAUAGUUGUUGCAGUUAAAAAGCUCGUAGUUGGACUUCUGAUGUGGGGAUUCGGUCCACCGCAAGGUGAGCACUGAUGUCCUUGCGUCUUCCUCUCGUAGUUGUUUGGCGCACUUAGUUGGGUGCCAGAUGAAUAUGGGACCUUUACUUUGAAAAAUUAGAGUGUUCAAAGCAGGCGAUCGCUUGAAUACAUUAGCAUGGAAUAAUAGAAUAGGACUUUGGUUCUAUUUUGUUGGUUUCUAGGACCGAAGUAAUGAUUAAUAGGGACAGUUGGGGGCGAUUUUAUUCCAUUGUCAGAGGUGAAAUUACUUGGAUUAACGGAAGAAAAACUAACUGCGAAAGCAUCUGCCAAGGAUGUUUCUAUUGAUCAAGAACGAAAGUUAGGGA
RNAcentral lists this ribosomal RNA (399 nucleotides) under uncultured eukaryote. RNAcentral's name for it is "bacterial SSU rRNA". It matches the Rfam family "Eukaryotic small subunit ribosomal RNA", at positions 592 to 996 of the family's 1831-position model. The record is from RNAcentral.